UAGGGAAUAUUAGAAAUGGACGAAAGUCUGAUCUAGCAACUCCGCGUGUGCGAAGAAGGCCUUCGGGUCGUAAAGCACUUUUUGGAAGGAAUAGGAAGGAAUGUACUUCCAGAAUAAGUCUCGGCUAACUACGUGCCAGCAGCCGCGGUAACACGUAGGAGGCGAACGUUAUCCGGAUUUACUGGGCGUAAAGCGCGUGUAGGUGGUUCGGUAAGUAGGGCGUGAAAGCUCCUGGCUCAACUGGGAGAGGCCGGUCUAAACUACAGAACUAGAGGAUGGUAGAGGGAGGUGGAAUUCCAGGUGUAGCGGUGGAAUGCGCAGAUAUCUGGAGGAACACCAGUGGCGAAGGCGGCCUCCUGGACCAUUCCUGACACUCAGACGCGAAAGCUAGGGUAGCAAACG
Molecule: ribosomal RNA, 402 nt
Filed under: uncultured prokaryote
Description: bacterial SSU rRNA
Rfam family: Bacterial small subunit ribosomal RNA
Source: RNAcentral